Molecule: transfer RNA, 73 nt
Filed under: Liolaemus tenuis
Lineage: Eukaryota; Metazoa; Chordata; Lepidosauria; Squamata
Description: tRNA-Asn
Source: RNAcentral
CUAGACAGGCAGGCCUUGAUCCUGCAAAACUUUAGUUAACAGCUAAACACCUAAACCAGCGGGCUUCUAUCCG